RNAcentral lists this long non-coding RNA (616 nucleotides) under Homo sapiens (human). RNAcentral describes it as "HSALNT0274494". Lineage: Eukaryota; Metazoa; Chordata; Mammalia; Primates; Hominidae. The record is from RNAcentral.
UGUACCCUAAAACUUAAAGUAUAAUAAUAAUAAAAAAAAGGAAAAAGGAGAAAAACAGUUUAAGGGGCAAAAAGGGGGGAGAUUCUGGGGGAAGAACCCCUUGCUUAGUGCAACUGCGUCCCUCUAAUUCUUAUAACUUUCCCAUCCUUUCCCCAGUUCAGACCAGGUUGAAUUCCUUGGCCAGGGGAGGAAAGGUUCCCUUGGCACACUUGACCAACGCGCUCCCUGUAGGGUCCCGGCUACCCCCUCGGCUUCCUCCCGCCCGGUUCGUGGCUGUUGGGCUUGGCCUUUGCCUGCCGUGGGCACGCCCAGGUGCCCGAGCUGGGAAGGGGAAGAAUAAGGAGAGGUGCCCAGAGCCGUGUGUGCCUGCGGCUCUCGAGGUAGAGGCAUACAUGGCACCUCUAGGAAAAAUUGGUCUGAUUUGCACCUUUGGCGGCUGAGCCAAAUACUCAUUCUACUUAGUAACAUUGCCGCAGCCUGUAGCAAAACUCUUAACAUUAUAAAGGAGAUAAGAGCCAUUUUUAAACCGUGUGAGAGAGAAAAAAGAGAUGAAAGGAAAACAGCCUCUUACCCACAAGAAAGACAGGUGGUAGGGUUUUCGAAGGCAGACAUUCAC